RNAcentral lists this long non-coding RNA (421 nucleotides) under Eutrema salsugineum. Its description in RNAcentral is "long non-coding RNA (ESAL_LNC001136)". Lineage: Eukaryota; Viridiplantae; Streptophyta; Magnoliopsida; Brassicales; Brassicaceae. The record is from RNAcentral.
GGAAAUGGAGACUUCGUGACUUGCUCGGAGAUGGAGAAUUCAGAGCUCUUCUUCUCUGUUUUAGGUGGUCUUGGCCAGUUCGGUAUCAUCACCAGAGCUAGGGUUUUGCUACAGCCAGCACCACAUAUGGUGAAUACUUUAAAACCAAAAAUAAUCAUAAUAUAAUAUCUCUCAAUUAGAUAUCUUUCUAAAAAAAUUUGAUUGAUGGGUGAUUUUUUUUUUAGAUUUCACUUGAGUAAGUAAAGAUUAUUAAUGAUUGUAUUAGGUGAGGUGGAUAAGGGUGGUUUACGCCGAGUUCGACGAGUUCACUCGUGACGCCGAGUGGCUGGUGAGUCAGAAAGAUGAGUCAUCGUUUGAUUACGUGGAAGGAUUCGUGUUCGUCAACGGCGAUGACCCGGCCAACGGAUGGCCUACAGUUCCG